ACAACAAAUUUUUCCCACAAAACAAAGCCAAUAAAGCACAUGCUUACUCUUAGUUUCAUACUUCAGUAUAUUUCAACCAGAUUAAUGCAUUUUGGAGACACAUGUGAAAAGAUUUUUAAGUACAUCAUGCAGGCACAAUCAGUUGUUCCACUUGACAGCACAGUUAAAGCAUGUGGAGACAGAAAAGGAGCCAAGGAGGAAAAAGACAUUUCAUGUUUAAGCUAAAGAUCACUGUUCCUACAGAAGUGCAUUGCAAUUGGUUUGAACCAGAAGAAAAAAAAAAAGGACAGAUAAACAUGUAAACAAAUAAGUCUCAUCCAACUACUACUAGGAGAUGGGCAACUGAAUGCAAUCUCAUCUCUUUGUUCAAUUUAGGGCCAACAAAAGAAAAUCAUAAUAGAGCAAGUUGAUAUAUUUUCUUUCCUAUUUCUUUUGUGCAUCUUUUCUUACAUAUGAAACAACAAAUUUUUCCCACGAAACAAAGCCAAUAAAGCACAUGCUUACUCUUAGUUUCAUACUUCAGUAUAUUUCAACCAGAUUAAUGCAUUUUGGAGACACAUGUGAAAAGAUUUUUAAGUACAUCAUGCAGGCACAAUCAGUUGUUCCACUUGACAGCACAGUUAAAGCAUGUGGAGACAGAAAAGGAGCCAAGGAGGAAAAAGACAUUUCAUGUUUAAGCUAAAGAUCACUGUUCCUACAGAAGUGCAUUGCAAUUGGUUUGAACCAGAAGAAAAAAAAAAAGGACAGAUAAACAUGUAAACAAAUAAGUCUCAUCCAACUACUACUAGGAGAUGGGCAACUGAAUGCAAUCUCAUCUCUUUGUUCAAUUUAGGGCCAACAAAAGAAAAUCAUAAUAGAGCAAGUUGAUAUAUUUUCUUUCCUAUUUCUUUUGUGCAUCUUUUCUUACAUAUGAAACAACAAAUUUUUCCCACG
RNAcentral lists this unclassified non-coding RNA (933 nucleotides) under Hevea brasiliensis (rubber tree). Lineage: Eukaryota; Viridiplantae; Streptophyta; Magnoliopsida; Malpighiales; Euphorbiaceae. The record is from RNAcentral.